This 453-nucleotide ribosomal RNA is filed under the name uncultured bacterium. RNAcentral's name for it is "bacterial SSU rRNA". It matches the Rfam family "Bacterial small subunit ribosomal RNA", at positions 340 to 786 of the family's 1533-position model. The record is from RNAcentral.
UACGGAGGCAGCAGUGGGGAAUAUUGCACAAUGGGCGAAAGCCUGAUGCAGCUAUGCCGCGUGUAUGAAGAAGGCCUUAGGGUUGUAAAGUACUUUCAUCGGGGAGGAAAAACAAAACUAAUAAUUUUAUUUCUUGACGUUACCCGAAAAAGAAGCACCGGCUAACUCCGUGCCAGCAGCCGCGGUAAUACGGAGGGUGCUAGCGUUAAUCAGAAUUACUGGGCGUAAAGAGCACGUAGGUGGUUUUUUAAGUCAGAUGUGAAAUCCCUGGGCUUAACCUAGGAACUGCAUUUUGAAACUGAAAUACUAGAGUAUCGUAGAGGGAGGUAGAAUUCUAAGUGUAGCGGUGAAAUGCGUAGAUAUCUGGAGGAAUACCUGUGGCGAAAGCGGCCUCCUAAACGAAUACUGACACUGAGGUGCGAAAGCGUGGGGAGCAAACAGGGAUUAGAUACC